UUCGAUUCUUGGUGUGGGAGGAAUUAACCCCUUCCGUGCCGGAGCUAACGCGUUAAGUCGACCGCCUGGGGAGUACGGCCGCAAGGCUAAAACUCAAAGAAAUUGACGGGGGCCCGCACAAGCGGAGGAGCAUGUGGCUUAAUUCGAUGCAACGCGAAGAACCUUACCCAGACUUGACAUAUACCUGCACGCUCUGUGAAAGCAGAGCUCUUUCGAAGGUGGUAUACAGGUGCUGCAUGGCUGUCGUCAGUUCGUGCCGUGAGGUGUUUGGUUAAGUCCAGCAACGAACGCAACCCUUGUGAUUAGUUGCCACCGGAGGUGCAAAUCUCCGAGCACUCUAAUCAGACUGCCCGUGCAAGCGGGAGGAAGGUGGGGAUGACGUCAAGUCAGUAUGGCCCUUACGUCUGGGGCUGCACACGUGCUACAAUGGCCGGUACAGAAGGUUGCAAUACCGCGAGGUGGAGCUAAUCCCCAAAACCGGCCCCAGUUCGGAUUGGAGUCUGCAACUCGACUCCAUGAAGUUGGAUUCGCUAGUAACGGCGUAUCAGCUACGACGCCGUGAAAUACGUUCCCGGGCCUUGUACACACCGCCCGUCACAUCAUGAAAGCCGUCUGCACCCGAAGUCACUGAUCCAACCCGCAAGGGAGGAAGGUGCCGAAGGUGUGGGUGGUGAUUGGGAUGAAGUCGUAACAAGGUAGCCGUAA
RNAcentral lists this ribosomal RNA (705 nucleotides) under uncultured organism. Its description in RNAcentral is "bacterial SSU rRNA". It matches the Rfam family "Bacterial small subunit ribosomal RNA", at positions 805 to 1505 of the family's 1533-position model. The record is from RNAcentral.